GAUGAACGCUGGCGGCGUGCCUAAUACAUGCAAGUCGAACGCAUUGUGGUUGAAAUGAUAUGAAGAACUUGUUCAGAUUUGAUUUUCAACAUUGCGAUGAGUGGCGAACGGGUGAGUAACACGUGGGAAACCUACCUCUUAGCAGGGGAUAACAUUUGGAAACAAAUGCUAAUACCGUAUAAUAAUUAAAACCGCAUGGUUUUAGUUUAAAAGAUGGUCUUGCUAUCACUAAGAGAUGGUCCCGCGGUGUAUUAGUUAGUUGGUGAGGUAAUGGCUCACCAAGACAAUGAUACAUAGCCGAGUUGAGAGACUGACCGGCCACAAUGGGACUGAGACACGGCCCAUACUCCUACGGGAGGCAGCAGUAGGGAAUCUUCCACAAUGGACGAAAGUCUGAUGGAGCAACGCCGACGUGUGUGAUGAAGGGUUUCGGCUCGUAAAACACUGUUGUAAGAGAAGAAUGACAUUGAGAGUAACUGUUCAAUGUGUGACGGUAUCUU
Molecule: ribosomal RNA, 500 nt
Filed under: uncultured bacterium
Lineage: Bacteria
Description: bacterial SSU rRNA
Rfam family: Bacterial small subunit ribosomal RNA
Source: RNAcentral